UGCAUCGGCCGGGAAUUGAACCCGGGCCACCCGCGUGGCAGGCGAGCAUUCUACCACUGAACCACCGAUGC
RNAcentral lists this transfer RNA (71 nucleotides) under Teladorsagia circumcincta. Its description in RNAcentral is "tRNA-Gly". The record is from RNAcentral. Lineage: Eukaryota; Metazoa; Nematoda; Chromadorea; Rhabditida; Trichostrongylidae.